Long non-coding RNA from Argiope bruennichi, 2581 nucleotides. RefSeq lists it as uncharacterized. Lineage: Eukaryota; Metazoa; Arthropoda; Arachnida; Araneae; Araneidae. The record is from RefSeq and is a predicted model, not a curated record. The transcript has 5 exons.
UUAGAAAGAUAAAAUGAACCUUCCAAAGUGACUUUUAAACUGUUUUGGUAGGGAUUUUAAUUAAUUUAGAAUUUAAUAAAGUUUGAUGUUUAUCCGCUUUAACUUCCGAAAACAUCGUGCAUAUUUAAAUUUUGCAACAUUCUAAAACUUUAAAAAUAACCAAAUUAAUUACCGUAUAAUAUUUGUUUGCAUUUACAAACAUUUUAAAAGUAUUUUGUACAUGAUUUUCAACAAUAUAUUUCAUUGUUGCAGUGAAAUUCAAUUUAAUUCUCAUGUUUCAUUAUUAUUAUUAUCACAUGAAUUUAUUUAAUCUUUGAAAGCAAAGGAAGAAAGAUGCUGAUAACUAUUUGAACAGAUUAGUUUUAAAAAAAUCAGACAAUGAAAUUGCAUUAUUGCAAAAUACGGCAUAAAUUGAUAGAUAAUCGAUACACUUAAAUUUUUAAUGGCUUUAAAGUGCAAGUCGACAUCAUUAGUCAAGAACCUCCUUUAUAGAGAGAAGCGUGACAUCAAGUUAUGUGUGAAUACAUUAAAUUAAACGCGACCGAUAUUCCUGAUGUUGAUAAAAGUGGCUAAUCUAGGAUAAGUUCUACACCGGUUAUGUAAUGUCUCCGAAAAUUGGUUAUCAUGAUUAAGACAUUAAAUUACUCCAGUGCGACAUAAAGUGAAUUUUGAAGUGGAUACUGCUUGAUAAGCCUCUUAUGAUAGCUGUUAGCAGUCUGGCAACUAAAUUGAUUUAUUUGUUUGGAAUGCAAAUGUUUUUAGGAGGUAGGGCCAGGAAAGAAAGAAUUUUAACGGUGCUCAUAACAUCCAUGAUCGAUUAUAUAUUAAUAAUGACAUAAUUUUUAAUUUAUAUUUUAUUACUGUUUACACGUAUCAUUUCAUUAUAUACAUUUAGAUUUUAAGAAUUAUGCAUUUAGGUCUUCUAUAUUUCUAAGAAAAGGCUAUUGAUUAUCCAUACAUUGUGAAGUACUUCAACAUUCUAUGCAUUUUCUUGAUAACACUCUUAGUCAUCUGCAUUAAAAGAAGUUUAUGUAUUUCUGGCCCAGAUUUAGUUGUUUCUAACGUAAGAGAAAGUAAAGUACAUGUUGUUUGGACUCCACUUAAGAUACCUGGAAAAGUAAUUGAAAAAUAUCAAGUCUCUGCCUAUCCUCUACAAUCAUUUGGAACAGAUAUUUUGAAACAGAACGAAUGGACCUUUUCUAAUAGUUCAAGCCGUACUGAUCUUGUUGGCUUGCAUCCAGGCACCAAGUACAACAUCAGUGUUUGGGCUGUCACAAGUGAUGGUCGAACUGAUCCAACUACUAAAAUAGUUUGGACUGAAGUUGGAGCUUAAAAAGAACUGCAGUAUGUUUGAAUGAGCAAUGUUUGCCAAUCCCUGACUUAGUGGGUUCCAUGAGGUGAAGGAUUGGACUUUGAAUACGCUGCACGUGGACAACUUUAAGAGAACUGUGAUGUAGUGCAAGCGGGUGAAUUUUUUCGAUCCCAGCGUAAGAUGGUCUCGAGUGGCAAGAAGCUGAAACUGAGCCCGACCCACGAAAAGAAAAAUUCUGAUCAAAGACUCAGCUUCAAAUUGGAUAACAUGCUAAUAGUGAAGCAGCUAUUUUCUUUUGGUUUGUGGACUGUGCCUCGUGGGGAGGGCCACGUUUUCCAAACUUCCAACGCCCUGAUGCUGAUUUUUCAUCUUCCGGCAAAAAGUUUACAGUGUCAUCCAAAACCCAGCACGGUGCAAAGAAGUUUUGUGGAACAAGAUCAGUUCUUGUAUGACAGGUAUGUCAUGCAUCCAAAUAUCCAAAUUCAAUAUAUGUCGUGCCACCCGAGACCAGAUAUCUGAUUUUGACUGUUCAUAAAACUUUAUUUUCUGUGGAUAUGAUGGCGUGGGAGGAUAUCCGAGGCCUUCAAGACUUUCGUACACCUUGCAGGCAUAUAAUUUGCCCCCUCCCACGCCAAAGCACGAGAUGCGCCAGACAUCAUCAGACCUGAGGAAAGGUGAUCAAGAAAAAGGAUGAGAAGGAAUUCACCCGAACCUGUAUUCAUUCAGCCGAGGGACCCUGAGCCUGAAACUGUUGUGCAAUAGCCCACACGAGACCCUAUACCUGAGACUGAGCCCACACAAGCAUUGCAGGAAGAUGUUUUGAUUUUUGAAGACGAUUGGAUAAAUAUUAUGCAGCAAGAUGUUUGCCAAGAAACCAUUAAUGAUUUCUUGGCAAACUUUGAGCGAGAACUUUGUUCGAUGGGUCCGGCUCAUCAGAUGCAUGUUGAAAGACCACCUGAUGUGUACCAACCACCAAAUGUGUCUGUUGUGCUACCUCCACCCCCAGAUAAUUACUGGAGGUCCAAUGUCAUUUAGAGACACUUCUGCAAAUUUGUUCGAUGAAUCACCACCAAUGGACUUGACAUUGGAGGCAAGAGUGGCCCUUCCCAGGCAAACUCAUGUCUUUAAACCUGGGAAGGGUCCGCUGGACUUGUCAUGUAAACUAAUUUGAGUAAUGUGUAAAUAUUCAUAAUGUUCAAUCAUAAUGUUUGUAAACUAAUUUCUGUACUGUGUAAUAAUAUAUAUUGUCAAUAAAUAAUGUUUUCAUAU